ACAAAUAGCCAUCCACUCACUAUUAUAUGUUAAACUUCAAUUUUACACACAUUGAUAGCUGUGUUGUAGUUCUCAUUGAACAUUAGGCUCUAAAUCAC
Molecule: long non-coding RNA, 98 nt
Organism: Etheostoma spectabile (orangethroat darter)
Lineage: Eukaryota; Metazoa; Chordata; Actinopteri; Perciformes; Percidae
Exons: 3
Source: RefSeq, a predicted model, not a curated record